ACACAAAAUAAUCACAAUAUGUAAUCAGGAUAUCACAGGAAACUAACUGACAGAAAAUUCUCAUACAUUGAAAUAGUAAAACAGAUUACAACUCCACACUAAAUUUCAACACAUAAUUCACGAGAAGUAAUCUGAAGUUUUACAAACCACUAGCUGAUGAACAUGGCAUAAAAUAUUGAACUAGUACAAAAUAUAGUUGAUCACGUCUCCACAGUAACUGUUCACAAAAUUACACAAUGAGAGAGAUGCAGUUUAACAGUAGCAGAGGUUCAGCAAGGAGAGAAGGUGCAGCAGCAGUGAGAGAGCAUCAGUUCUUUUGGGGAAAGGUAGUAGCAGCCAGCAGGGAUGUGGGAGAGGAGCAGCAGAGAGGUAGAGAGCAACAGCGGUGGGAGCAUUGAGAUAGGAGCAGCGAGGGUUGAGAGAAGGGAAGUAGCAGUUGGCAAGUGGAGGUUGAGAUUCAGAGAAGGCAGAGAGCAUGCAGCAAAGUUUGGGUGAAGAAGAGAGGUGGAGGAGCAGCAAGGGGGCGCUGGAGAAGAAAGAAGCAGAAGUCUAGGUUUGAGGGCGGGCACCAGCAGGUUGAAGGAGGAGGAAUAGCAGCGGUGAGAAAAGAGCAGCAGCAGUAGGGAGAUGGCUGUAGGCGCGGCGGCGGCGGCUGAGAUUGAUGUAUGUUGUGGUGGACGGGGUGUUGGAGGCCGCUGGUGCUGUGGACGGAGGGGUAAGGUAGGGUGGCUGGGACGCGCACCACCACGACGGCCUGGCCAUGGCGUCGGCCGGAGGUGGAGAAGGAGGGUGAGGGAAAGAGAGAAGUGCCAGGCCCGAUUUGGGAAUGGAGGCUGCUAGGGAUUUUGAUCCCCUCUUCACAUCUGCACCUUUGCAUUUUGGCCCUCCUAAUUCUCUUCUUUUGCCUCAAGUAGAUCCCCAUUCUUUUUUAGCAAUCCCCCCUGGGUCUUUAAUUCUUCAUAAUCAGUCCCUCCUCUUAUUAUUUCCCUUAGUCUCAUAGUCGGAAUCAUGAAGUUUAUAGUGCCUUUGCGCACUUUUCUGCAAAAGAAACAAAUGACUAGUAAAUGUUCCCUUUUUAUGAUUAUCAUGCAAACAGUCAAUCAAACAUAGCAAGAAUGGAUGAAUAGAUCACAAUAGAUGGUAUAUUUGAGUGCGAAUUAUAUAUGUGAAAUAUACUUAUCAAGUUCCCGCACACUUAAAUCUUUGCUUGUCCUCAAGCAAAGGAAUAUGACAAAGGCAAGAUAGUGAAUAGUAAACUGAUAAAGAAUGUCCUAGUAAAAUAGAUCUCCGAAUGAUGCAUGCUUUGGACUUAGCUAGUGAAAAUUAAUGGUUAGGAGUGCUUUAAAGCGGCAGGAUACUAGUAGACUUGACCAUUUUAAACUUUUAUAAAGAUAAAAGAAUAUCAGCCAGUUUAAAUGUGGAUUGUGCCACAAGGUUCCUAAAGAGAGCAUGAUCCCGAGAGACACCUAUCACUAGGAACACAACAUUGUGGUAGAACCACUUAUUGGAUUUGAAGGAAGCAACAAAGAUAAUAUUUUACUGGUCUCACCAAAGGAACAUACCACCGAUCCCACGGACAGGCCGUCGUGCUGGUGCGCCUUCCAAAAUGAUCGGGUGUAAGUACAGUGGGGUAUUUCGCCCAAAUCUGCAAGUGUGUCAUGUUCUCCAUAGGGACUAGGCACAUCAGCGUCUAUGCUCAGUUAAAUCUAGAUAAUACAAUUCAAAUGAUGAUUGAGGGAAAUAAACCUAAACUAUCAUAUUUCAUAAAAAACGUCGACAAAGAAGAUGCAAACAAGCAUAGGGGGGAUAAGAAUGCAAUCACUGUAUUUUUGGUAUUUUUUUAGGCUUGAGAAAUUAGAAACUAACAUAAAGGGAAACGACAGGACAUGAACACAUAUAGCAUAAUAGAUAUGUUUCGCAUUACAAACAUAUUUGUCACAGGGACAAAGCUAUCACAUGGAAUGGACUUUAAAUGUUCAUACAUCUCACUUCUACAGAGAGCCACAUCAACACAAAAUAAUCACAAUAUGUAAUCAGGAUAUCACAGGAAACUAACUGACAGAAAAUUCUCAUACAUUGAAAUAGUAAAACAGAUUACAACUCCACACUAAAGUUCAACACAUAAUUCACGAGAAGUAAUCUGAAGUUUUACAAACCACUAGCUGAUUAACAGGGCAUAAAAUAUUGAACUAGUACAAAAUAUAGUUGAUCACGUCUCCACAGUAACUGUUCACAAAAUUACACAAUGAGAGAGAUGCAGUUUAACAGUAGCAGAGGUUCAGCAAGGAGAGAAGGUGCAGCAGCAGUGAGAGAGCAGCAGUUCUUUUGGGGAAAGGUAGUAGCAGCUAGCAGGGAUGUGGGAGAGGAGCAGCAGAGAGGUAGAGAGCAACAGCGGUGGGAGCGUUGAGAUAGGAGCAGCGAGGGUUGAGAGAAGGGAAGUAGCAGUUGGCAAGUGGAGGUUGAGAUUCAGAGAAGGCAGAGAGCAUGCAGCAAAGUUUGGGUGAAGAAGAGAGGUGGAGGAGCAGCAAGGGGGCGCUGGAGAAGAAAGAAGCAGAAGUCUAGGUUUGAGGGCGGGCACCAGCAGGUUGAAGGAGGAGGAAUAGCAGUGGUGAGAAAAGAGCAGCAGCAGUAGGGAGAUGGCUGUAGGCGCGGCGGCGGCGGCUGGGAUGGAUGUAUGUUGUGGUGGACGGGGUGUUGGAGGCUGCUGGUGCUGUGGACGGAGGGGUAAGGUAGGAUGGCUGGGAGGCGCCCCACCACGAUGGCCUGGCCGUGGCGGCGGCUGGCGGUGGAGAAGGAGGGUGAGGAAAAGAGAGAAGUGCCAGGCCCGAUUUGGGAAUGGAGGCUGCUAGGGAUUUUGAUCCCCUCUUC
This 2868-nucleotide long non-coding RNA is filed under the name Triticum aestivum (bread wheat). RNAcentral's name for it is "long non-coding RNA (TAES_LNC022575)". The record is from RNAcentral. Lineage: Eukaryota; Viridiplantae; Streptophyta; Magnoliopsida; Poales; Poaceae.